AGGAGAUGUCACGUAGGAGAGGGAUUAAGCCUGCUCCCUCCGUCUCCCAAGGAUCAAAACUAGGACAGGCUGGGGAGAAGUGGUCGCUAGGAGAAGAGAAUUUAGAUCUUCCUCCUCUCAGCUUCAUCUGAUAGUAGUGGCAGGAAGCAGGGCUCCUGGCAGCUGGACUGGGCACUGUGGCAAGAAUCAUCGGGCAGAGAGCACCUGGCGGUUGUGUGUUCUGAGGUUGGAAUGGAGUCAGACAAAAGCAGAGCUGCACAAUUGUCUGGUUCUAACUACGCUUUGGCGAUGCCUUUGUUCUUCAUGAAGACGGGUGUACAUAGAGUUUGGGGGGAAACUGUCCUAAAACCAUU
Long non-coding RNA from Myotis daubentonii (Daubenton's bat), 353 nucleotides. RefSeq lists it as uncharacterized. The transcript is spliced from 3 exons. The record is from RefSeq and is a predicted model, not a curated record. NCBI's taxonomy places the organism in Eukaryota, Metazoa, Chordata, Mammalia, Chiroptera, Vespertilionidae.